Molecule: unclassified non-coding RNA, 3870 nt
Filed under: Hevea brasiliensis (rubber tree)
Lineage: Eukaryota; Viridiplantae; Streptophyta; Magnoliopsida; Malpighiales; Euphorbiaceae
Source: RNAcentral
CAACAACAUCAAGAAAAAAAAAAAUCUUCCCAUCAUUGACAUCCACAUUUUCACACCGAAAAAACUACCUUGGCAUCUGGUUGACCAGCCAAGUUCAUCACCAGAUCCACAGCCAGAUACCUCUCCAGUCUCCACUGCAGAACUCACUAAUCAGCCAAAAUCCAACACAGCAAAUACUUAAGAAAACCUACCUAUCCCAUCAAACAUGAAAAGACUUGUAAAAAUAAUCUUUAUGGUACUCAAUGCAACUUAUGUGAAACUAUCCAAAUAAAGUCAACUCUCCAAAAGGCCACCUUACUUAACACUAAGGUGAUUUUCAUUUUCUCAGUUCAUUAUUCCAGUCAAAGUGAGUUCAUCAAAUCAAUGAGUCAGUUAUCUCAGCAAUCACAUUCAGCCAUGUUCAAAUAUUCAAUGUCCCAAGUAGAGAAACCAUAUGUCAAUCAAUGCUUGAGUGACCAAACGACAAUGAAUAUGAGAGACUUCAUGCAGAUUUAGACCUCCAAAAUAAAAGGUCUUGCCUGUCUCUCUGCCUUUCAGUCAUAAUGUGGCUAACAGUCUCUGUGUUUUCUAUCCGUCAAUGUAACUUCCACUAUUUCGGCAUGAUCUUUAGUAACGACUUCAUGUCUGAUUAAGCAGGCCUAUAGCCAGUGACAGAAGAAGGUUUCGCUAUUCAUCAUGGAUAAAAGAAUCAAUUAGAGUAGCAUAAACAUCUUCUUUCAUCAAAGCUGUCAAAUCUUUUAGAACUUUGUCAAUUUUUCCAGCACUAGAAUGGGACUUGUCCCCUGCAACAAAAAUAUUUGUCUUCUGUCCCACUACAAUCCAGCUGCAUCCAGGCAACUUCUUAACUCCUUUCUCUCUCAUUAUCCUCCUUAAGGCAUUAACCUCAUCCCAGUUUCCUGAUGCAGCAUGAAUGUUAGAAAGAAGCACAUAGGGUGAAGAAUUUUGGGGUUCAAGUUCAAUGAGUUUCUCAGCAGCAUUUUGGCCCCUAACAUCAUCCCCAUGUAUUCUGCAAGCUGCGAGCAUUGUAGCCCAAAUCAUGGCAUGAGAUUCAAAAUUAAGUGUAUAGAUGAACUCUUCAGCUUCUUGAAGAAAACCCCACCUGCCCAGAAGAUCAACCAUGCAGGCACAAUGAUCCACCCUAGGCUGAAUCUUGUAAUAGUUAACCAUACUAUCAAAGAUAUAACGGCCUGCAGAUACCCUCCCUGCAUGACUGCAGGCAGUGAGAACACCAAGAAACGUGACAUCAUCAGGUAAAACAUGUGUUUGCUUCAUCUCAUCAAAGACCCUUAGUGCAUCUUCUGCAUAUCCAUUUUUAGCACAUCCAACUAUCAUUGAGUUCCAAGAAAUAACAUAAUUUUUACUCUGCAUUUCCUCAAAAACUUGCAUGGAACUCUUCACAUCCCCACAUUUAGCAUACAUGUCUACAAGGGCACUACACGUUAAUUCAUCUAAGUCAAAACCAAUAUGGAUAAUGAGUGAGUGAAUCUCUCUCCCUUCUCUCAUAGAAGAUAAGAUAGCACAUGCUCUAAGCACACUGACAAAUGUGGCUUGGUCAGGUAGCACAUUGCAGCUACGCAUCUCUUGAUAGAACUGCAAAGCCACAUAACUACAAUCAUUUUGAGCAAGUCCAGAAAUCAUUGCAGUCCACAAUAUAGUGCUUUUUGGUUUUGAAAUUUCUGAGAAGAGAAUAUUUGCAUCUUCUUUUCGUAGGGAGUUCAUGUACAUGCCCAAUAGUGAGAUGCCUAAGAAUUCAUCAUCAUACUGAAGGCCCCUCUUUAGAAUAAGACAGUGGAUUUGCCUUCCUAGAUUCAAUUGUUGAGGUCCACCACAUGCAUCUAAAAGGCUUGCAAAAGUUAUUUUGGAUGGACUUAAUCCUUCAGUUUGCAUCUCUUUAAAGAGUAUUAUUGCAUCUUCUAGAUUAAUAGUAGCAUACCCUGCGAUAAGGGCAUUCGUGGAGACCACACUCCACUCAGGCAUGCUUGCAAAUAUUUUAUGUGCAGAGCCAAUAGCACCACACUUAGCAUACAUGUCAAUAAGGGAGCUUCCAGCAUAAAGGCUCGUUUCUAGACCAGAUUUGACUGAGAGACAAUGCAUCUGUUUCCCCUGCUCGAUACCUUCAACAUUUGCACAGGCACUCAGUAUACUGGCCAGGGAGACUUCAUCAGGCAGAAUCCCAAGCAAAUGCAUUUUUUGGAACACAAGGAAUGCCUCAACCUCAUUUUCUUCCUGCACAUAUCCAACAAUAAUUGCAUUCCAAGAAACAUUGUCUCUGUACCUCAUGAGUUCAAAUUGUUGCCUUGCAUCCUCAAGCACACCAGAUUUAGCAUACAUAUCAACCAAUGCAUUUCCCACAAAUAAGUUUGAGGCAAAUUUACUCUUGAUGAUGACUGCAUGCAAUUGCCGACCCCCUUCCAGAAAUCUCAAGCAAGCACAUGCACUCAAAAUACUGGUAUAGGUAAAUUCAUCUGGAUGAAAACCACAGCUCUUCAUGUUGGAGAACAAUUCCAUGACUUCAUAGUAAUAUCCAUUUUGUGCAUAACCCCCAAGCAAUGAAUUCCACAAGACAACAUUUUGCUCAUCUAAAGCAUCAAAAACUUUUUUUGCUGCUUCAAUCUUCUCGCAUUUAGCAUACAUGCUAAUCAAUGAACUUCCAACAUAAACGUUAGAGUCUAACCCUUGUUUAACUGCCUCUGCAUGAACUAGCAAACCAAUGUCAAGAGCAGUUAAACUCGCAACUGCACUCAAUACACUUCCUAAUGUGGAUCUUGUGGACUUAAUACCAGAUUUCCUCAUAUUUUGGAAAAUCUCGAUAGCUUGUGCCUCAUAACCUCUCUGGGCAUGCCCUGAAAUCAUCACAUUCCAUGCAACAACAUUGGGGUUAGGCAUCUGGGAGAAUAAAUCGGAUGCCUCAUCAAGCCGUCCUAGACCAACAUAUGCAUUUAAGACAGUCACAAAUGCAAUUAGGUCUGGUUCCUGACCAACUUUCUUCAUCUCAUCAAACACUUUUAAGGCCUCCUCAGGCAAAGCAGCUUUAACAUACCCGGCAAUCAUUGAUGUCCAAGAAACUGUAUCCAAUUCUACUCCUUCAUCAAACACCCUUCGACAAUCACCCAUGCUAUUACACUUAGCAUACAUAUCAAUAAGAGCACCCUCGCAAAAAGAACCGGACUCGAAUCCCAUCUUAACAACAUUGCAAUGAACUUGUCUGCCACGUUCAACACUCUCCAAUCUAGCACAAGCUGAUAAAACAAUAGCAAAAGUGAACUCAUUAGGCCACACUCCAUGGCUCCACAAUGAUCCAUAAGACUUAAAAACCAUAUCCAAAAAUCCCAAUUUCGAAUAUAUUGAUAGAAUAGAGUUCCAAGCCAAUACAUCUCUAUUUUCAAGUCUAUUAAACACCUUCUCUGCAAAAUCCAAAUUGCCACACUUGGCAUAAAUAUCAAGAAUGGCGUUCCCUAAAGACCCCUUUGACCAAAACCCAAGUUUAAGGCUUUGGGCAUGGAUAAUUCUGCUGGUUGUUGAAAACUGCGAUAGCUUUUGAGGCGUUUCUUCGAACGUGUGGUGGGCUUUGACCUGUUUGCAUUUCCGGAGACACGACAGCAAGAUUUGGGUGUAUGUGUGGGGUUUAGGGGUCUGAAUAAGGUGGUUCGAGUCGCAUGGAAUAGUUGAAAAUGUGAGUUGGUGAAGACAGGAGUGUGAGUUUGAGGUGGGAGAUGUUUUGAAGAAAAAUCUGAGACGCAUUGCCUCUGCGAUGAUUCUAACAUGACUUGGUGAGGUCAGCAAGGUAAAAUGUCCGUGAAAAAACAGGUGCUAGAGAAGAAGAAGAUUAGCAUAUGCCUGAUGAGUACGAGAAGGGAGAGGCGAAGGUGU